CUCAAAUUCGGCUUGAAAUUAAUUUCGAGCCUAAAUUUAAGCUCAAGCUUGGUUUGAAAUUAAUUCAAGCCGAGCUCGAGCGAGCCAAAUUUCUAGUCGAGCGAGCUCGAGCCCUAAAUGAGCCGCUUGAAAUUCUCAACAUCAUCAUACGAUCAAUAGUUUAAUUUGUAUAAAAUAUAAUCUAUAAUUUGAUACAAAAAUAUGUCUAAUAGUUCAAAUUGCAAAAUAAUUAUAUGAAAUAUGGUAUUAUAAUAUGAAGAAAAAUAAUUUAUGAGUUGAAUAUCUAAUAUUUUCAGCCUCACAUGUCUUCUCUUCUGUCUUCAAUCUCCAUAUUAUUCAUUUUCAUUUAUACGGUCAAAAAUAAAUAAAUUAUAUAGAUAAAUAUUAGAUUAAACUAUUCAAUUAUAUGUAACUAAAAUUAAAAUUUUAUACAAAUAAUAAUUUUUUUACUUUAAAAAUAUUCUGUAUAUUUUUUCAAGCAUACAAUUAAUAGCAAAGUAA
RNAcentral lists this long non-coding RNA (501 nucleotides) under Ananas comosus (pineapple). RNAcentral's name for it is "long non-coding RNA (ACOM_LNC032073)". The record is from RNAcentral. Lineage: Eukaryota; Viridiplantae; Streptophyta; Magnoliopsida; Poales; Bromeliaceae.